UUACGGCCAUAUCAUUUUGAAACGCUGGUUCCCGUACGAUUACUGAAGUUAAGCAACAUCGAGCCUGGUCAGUAUUUAGAUGAGUGACCACUUGGGAAUAUCAGGCGCUGUA
This is a non-coding RNA of Acanthosepion pharaonis, 112 nucleotides long. NCBI's taxonomy places the organism in Eukaryota, Metazoa, Mollusca, Cephalopoda, Sepiida, Sepiidae. The record is from the annotation of a GenBank genome assembly.